This 422-nucleotide ribosomal RNA is filed under the name Fusobacteriota bacterium. RNAcentral's name for it is "Fusobacteria bacterium partial 16S ribosomal RNA". It matches the Rfam family "Bacterial small subunit ribosomal RNA", at positions 355 to 776 of the family's 1533-position model. Lineage: Bacteria; Fusobacteriati; Fusobacteriota. The record is from RNAcentral.
UGGGGGAUUUUGCACAAUGGGCGCAAGCCUGAUGCAGCGACGCCGCGUGAGGGAUGAAGGCCUUCGGGUUGUAAACCUCUUUCGCUGGGUUGAAAGGCCAUGCUUUGGGUGUGGUUGAUUUGAACUGGUAAAGAAGUACCGGCUAACUACGUGCCAGCAGCCGCGGUAAUACGUAGGGUACUAGCGUUGUCCGGAUUUAUUGGGCGUAAAGGGCUUGUAGGUGGUUUGUCGCGUCUGUCGUGAAAUCCUGUGGCUUAACCAUGGGCUUGCGGUGGGUACGGGCAGGCUUGAGUGCGGUAGGGGAGACUGGAAUUCCUGGUGUAGCGGUGGAAUGCGCAGAUAUCAGGGGGAACACCGGUGGCGAAGGCGGGUCUCUGGGCCGUUACUGACACUGAGGAGCGAAAGCGUGGGGAGCGAACAGG